GGUAAGGUGGCUGAGUAGGCGGUAAAUUGUAAAUUUACUUACGAGACGAUAAUCUCCCUUAUCA
Molecule: transfer RNA, 64 nt
Filed under: Varanus eremius
Lineage: Eukaryota; Metazoa; Chordata; Lepidosauria; Squamata; Varanidae
Description: tRNA-Tyr
Source: RNAcentral